AGGAGUUUGAUCCUGGCUCAGAAUGAACGCUGGCGGCGUGCUUUACACAUGCAAGUCGAGCGAGAACGCGACUUCGGUCGUUAGUACAGCGGCGGACGGGUGAGUAACACGUGGACAACCUACCUGGGAGCGGGGAAUAACUGGGGGAAACUCCAGCUAAUACCGCAUACGCUUGUUGAACCUCGGUUCAGCUCGGAAAGGUGGCCUCUUCUUGAAAGCCAUCACUCCCAGAGGGGUCCGCGUCUGAUUAGCUUGUUGGUGGGGUAAUGGCCCACCAAGGCUUCGAUCAGUAGCCGGCCUGAGAGGGUGAUCGGCCACACUGGAACUGAGACACGGUCCAGACUCCUACGGGAGGCAGCAGUGGGGAAUAUUGCGCAAUGGGGGAAACCCUGACGCAGCAACGCCGCGUGGAGGAUGAAGGCCUUCGGGUCGUAAACUCCUGUCAGGUGGGACGAAAAAGCACGGGCGAAAUACCUGUGCCCUUGACGGUACCACCAGAGGAAGCCCCGGCUAACUCCGUGCCAGCAGCCGCGGUAAUACGGAGGGGGCAAGCGUUAUUCGGAAUUAUUGGGCGUAAAGGGCGCGCAGGCGGCUAGGUAAGUCAAAGGUGAAAUCCCUCGGCCCAACCGAGGAACUGCCUUUGAAACUGCUUGGCUUGAGGCCGGGAGAGGGCGGUGGAAUUCCCAGUGUAGCGGUGAA
RNAcentral lists this ribosomal RNA (699 nucleotides) under uncultured bacterium. RNAcentral describes it as "bacterial SSU rRNA". It matches the Rfam family "Bacterial small subunit ribosomal RNA", at positions 1 to 685 of the family's 1533-position model. The record is from RNAcentral.